AUCUGGCCGCUGGAGAGGGGCGGUAGUCGGCCCCGGCGGCAGAGGAAGCAACGCUCAGCUCCCUCCUCCACCCACCCCAUACAGGAACUCCCCACCGGGUCUUCAGAUGACAUAGGCGUCCCCGGCUCAGAGCCUAACCUGGGUCUCAGGGUCGGCCCCGACAGGGCGGGGGAGGAGGAAGGCUCUAUCCCGCCCCCGCCUCACCUCUACUCCCCGACCCCCAGGCUCCGACCCUUCUCACCAGCAAGGCCCCCCGCCUUACUCUUGUCCACUCCCAGAGACCCUGAGCGCACCCCUUUCUCGGCAUCCGCAGAGGACCCGCGUCUCCCGCCUUCCGUACGGGGCCCUCCCGGCCGCCCCGGCCCGAGCCCUUUGCACCGCGUCCCCCGGCCCCAGAGUCCGCCCCGCAUCCGCACUUCCCGCCCGGCCCCGCGGGCUCGCGGUCCGCCCCAACUUUUCCCAGCGCCGGCCCCGCAGCAACCGGGAUGCAGCGUCUCGAGCCGCGACGGGCAGGCGAGCUCGCGUCCCUGGGGCCCCCAACCCCGCCCGCGCGAGUUGCGCUCGGGACUCGCUGGGCGCCCGGGCCUGGGUCAGCAGCACUGCGCGGAGGCGGAGCCGGCGUGGCGGGAACCGCGCUGUCCCGGCGCCGCACCCCCGCCCGGCGCCCGGUGCCCCGCGCCCGCCCGCCGGCUCGCCCGCCCCGCCACCGCCACGCCGCUCCCAACCCACCUGCCCGCGGGCGCCGCCGCCGCCGCCGCCGCCACCACUGCCGGGAAUACGUGGCAGUGGCCGCCGCCGCUUGCGCUCCACUCCUCGCCUCUCCUCUCGGCGCCCGCGCGGGCGGCUCUGGCGUGCCGGACCGCAGCGCCAGGCGCCCUCUGCCGCCGGGAAGCCGAAUCCUCCUGCCCUAACCCUAAUUCGCUGGCUGCCCCCGCCCGGGCGUUGGCCCCCGCCCCCUCUUCCCCGUCGCCGGCUCCGACUGUAGCUUCCGAGCGACCUGGGUUCCCGCCCCGCCUGCAGCUGCUGCUGCCUCCAGGAAGUUCGCCCUGA
RNAcentral lists this long non-coding RNA (1050 nucleotides) under Papio anubis (olive baboon). RNAcentral's name for it is "lncRNA (ENSPANG00000045806.1)". Lineage: Eukaryota; Metazoa; Chordata; Mammalia; Primates; Cercopithecidae. The record is from RNAcentral.